Molecule: long non-coding RNA, 969 nt
Filed under: Brassica napus (rape)
Lineage: Eukaryota; Viridiplantae; Streptophyta; Magnoliopsida; Brassicales; Brassicaceae
Description: long non-coding RNA (BNAP_LNC014865)
Source: RNAcentral
AUUCGUAAACUUUUCAGAACUUAAAACGAAUGUAUAGUCUUCGAAAUAACAGCGAGACAUCGCCAAAGUUACAAUCGAAACUAUACGAACAACUAUCCAAACGCGACAAUAAAAUUUCAAUGAAUAUUUACAUCCUGCUCGUCGAUUGGCCCCGACGAACACAUCAGCCAUCUUAAACAAACACACCCUGAUCAUUCUGAUCCUCAAACAUCCGACACAAGGAUAAAAGCGCGCUAUAUAAAAAAUCCGAAAUUUUGGUCAAGCACUUCUAGUUGCCUUAAAAUUUGUCUCUGGAUAGAUGCUCGAUUCACACCAUACAAGUCGUAUAAGCUGAGAACCUAUCGCGGACUUUAAAUCGGUAUGAAUCAGGUUGAAAUCGCAAUAGGAAAAUCGAUAGCCGGCUAGUCACCGCAUAAAUCUUAAAACCGAAAGUAAACCUAGGUCUUGCCCUAAACCCAGCACACUGGUCUCUAACAUCUCAAGACAUGAUAUCUAAAAAUUGAUAUGAGAUCUUAAUACAUGUCUCUCUGUCCAUAUCUUAGCGUUCAUGGAACUUCGUAAAAAUAAAUUAGUAACUUUUACGAAAAUUCACAUCUCGAGCAAACCAACAGAUUGAACGUCUCGCUAGAACUGAAUAUGAGACAACAACUCAUAUUUAUUUCAGACUUGUUCAGAACAAUGUAGUUCGAUAAAUAUUCAACAUAUAUAAAACCGCAAAGCUAUAGGGAUUCGAAGCCACCAACGGCCAGUCCUGAGAAAAACAAAGCGGCCAAACAGGCCAACACAAAGUCUCAACAUAAAGGCCACACUCGGCCAGAUACAGAUAAUAAAGGCCACACUCUGCCAUAAACACAAGAUAGGGGGAAACCUCUUCCCGUCAAAUGCUAACUUCGAUUCUCACAGAUCAAAGUUAAAACCCCCGGACAUGGAAGCUCCGAAUGCAUCUGCGGGACAAUCCACUUCCUCAUC